This 1003-nucleotide long non-coding RNA is filed under the name Numida meleagris (helmeted guineafowl). RNAcentral's name for it is "lncRNA (ENSNMEG00000018842.1)". Lineage: Eukaryota; Metazoa; Chordata; Aves; Galliformes; Numididae. The record is from RNAcentral.
GCCAAAACAUACUAAAACAACCACUUAAAGGGAAACUGGUUAGACUCAUAUGUCUGGCUUGCUAAUAAAAUUGCUGUGCACUUAAUACAUUCUGGAAGAGAGCACAGCACCUUUUGGAUUUUGAGUCUGAUUCUCUUUUCCCUUGCAGUGAUGCAAAUUGGGAAUGACCCCUUCAGUCAGUGUCUAUGUAUAGCCAUGCCUGUGGAAGGAGUUUAUCAAAAUUUUCCCUGCCAAUCCAUAUCUGGAAACAGAAAACUGUAGAGGCCAAAGUGAAACGCUCAAUCAAGAUGCUGAAAAUGUUUAACCGUGGGAGCAGACCACCUGAAAGUGAUGGCAAAUUCUCCUCCAUAUCAAGUUUUUUUGGAUGAAAUUUAACUUCUCCUCCUGCAAGGUCAGUGCUGGUUCAGAAACUGGGCAUUGAGCUUGAGUUUAACUGAACUCCUCUACUCUGCACUGCUUGCCUCAGCUGUCCUUGUAUGUUUUUCCCCUGCUGUCAUCUCUACUGUAUGUGCACUUCUCUCUGACAAAACCCUGCAAGAAACGUAUUGCAUUUACUAAUUAGAAUAGCAGUUACUAAUUGAGUUUAAAUUCCAAUGUACCAAUCAAAUUUUAUUUCCUAAUUGUGCAACAUUAUCACUAAUUAGAAUAGCAGUUUUUACUUAAUGGAUUAUAUUUAAAUUAAGAUGUCUCCAUCCAAUGUUUUUUUCUACUUACAUUUUAACUAAUUGGUACUGCAAUUAUUAAGUUACAUUUAAAUUGAAAUAUAUCAGGGUGGUAGGGAAUCAUAUGAUAGCUCGCUUACAGUCUGUAUGUUACUAGUAGGAAUGAUUAAGAUACGGUCCAGUUAAUUAGUUCUGGUAUCAAAAUAAUUUCAUAAGUGUUUGAAUAAGGAUUGAGUGUACACUGCUCCCUUGCCACACUGUUAUGGGCCCAGUGAAAAUUUCGCAUAGCUAUCAGCACUAAUUGGCUCAGAUUCAAUCUGCAAAAACUUAGGCCCAAGUUC